Long non-coding RNA from Carassius auratus (goldfish), 1379 nucleotides. RefSeq lists it as uncharacterized. The record is from RefSeq and is a predicted model, not a curated record. NCBI's taxonomy places the organism in Eukaryota, Metazoa, Chordata, Actinopteri, Cypriniformes, Cyprinidae. The transcript has 4 exons.
UCUACACAGUCUCUCAAACUUCUGGAGUACACACAUCUUUAACACAGAGAAGAUGAGAAAGAAAAGUCUUUUUGAGGCUAAUCUUUGAGAUUGUGGCAAAAUACAAAUAAAAUUCCUUGAACAAAACAAAAAUUAUUUCCUAACUGCAGAAUCAAGAAGGAUGUAUUCCAGCUUCACCAAUCAAGAACAGUUCUUCAUCAAAGUUCCUUUGUAGAUCAGAAUGAGGAUGUCUUGGUGAUCUGAUGACCACAAAACAGACUGUAAUUGUCCACUCGCCUUCUCAUCUCUGACAGAUGCCCUCAGUCUCUAAGUUCCUCCUCCCAAGAGAACGUCAGUCAAUAUUAUCUUUGAGUCUCACAGCAGCUGAACAAUCUGUCAGGAUCAAAACAAGAGAGAGCAACUUUAGGGAUUGAACUCAGCUAUAAGAAAAAGAAUACAGGUCAGAAUGAGAACAGCAGGAACAUAUUCGAUUAAUGUUUGACUCGAGGAACAGGAUCCAAAAUACAGGAGAGGUUUAUGGCAAGAAGCUUCAAUCGCAUACUUAUGUCACCAUGAUGACGUCACUGGAAGAUCUGCAUUCCUGACAUACUAGACAGUGAUGAUGAACUACACAGUGUAUUGAGAUAAAAUGAGAGCAGGAGUUCAGAAAAUUACACUGUUUAAAUUUGUGAUACUAUAAGAACUAUGGAAAGAUCUACCUGCAAGUAGACAGUAUACUGUGAAAAAUGUUACAUUUACACUUGUAUAAAGAAAAAAAAAACAUUUUGAAAAAAAAAACAAAUAAAAUGCACUGUACUUUAUAUUUACAUUAACUGAAUAAGAUACAAGACGAGAACCUUACUGAAUAAAUAUGUAUGUAACAAUCACGUGACUUCAGUAUUCACUGGGAUAUUUGAAGUGUUAAAUGUUUAGUGCAUUAAAUGUCUCUUCAGAUUGAAGAUUAUUCUAGCCUGUAAUGUUUCCAUUUAUGAGCAUGUGAAGGCAAGCAGAGAUGAGGAUCUAUCUGUGAGGUGGAAAACAAGCAAAACAAAUACAAAAGAACAAGGAACAAAAGAGCACAGAGAACCAAUGAACAAGACACACCUGUAAACAAUGAAGAAUAGUCAGCAGGAAGAACUACAAAGAACUACAAACAUGGCACAGAAAACAGGAAGUAUAACAAAAGUCCUAAAGCAACACAAAGAACAAAUAACGCUGUAAGAUGGGUGGUUAUUCUGACUUAUCAAAUGUGUUUUGUCAUUUUAUAACACCCCACCUGAUCUCCACCCUUAUUGUAAUUUUAUUUAUUUAUUUAUUUAUUUAUUUAUUUAUCUAUUUAUUUAUUUAUUUUUAAACCUGAUAAAAACCUCAGUGACACCAUGAUGAUGAGCUGAUCUGUG